Molecule: non-coding RNA, 348 nt
Organism: Arachis ipaensis
Lineage: Eukaryota; Viridiplantae; Streptophyta; Magnoliopsida; Fabales; Fabaceae
Source: RefSeq, a predicted model, not a curated record
AGAAUCAUCACCGGUGAAGAAGCAAAAAAAAAAAAAGAAAAAGACACAAAGAACACCAAAAAAAACACAAUCCAAAAAGAAAAAGGUUGUUGUUGAGCAUUCAUCUCCUGAAGAAGAUCAAUCCUAUGAUGGUGAGAGAUAUGAAAUAGGAAGUGAAAAUCUAGAUGAAUUGUUAAGGGAAAACAAUGAAAAAUCUGCUGCAGAGGGGGAGAAGGAAGCUGACCUGCGAUCGACAGAAGGUCGCUAUGUCUCCUCUGAAACAAUACCGGACGUGAACUUGGGAAGUGAUGAUCCUUCCUCUCAAGGACACACAGAACAAAGUAGUGUAAACAGGCCGGCAGAGAGCAU